GUGCAAAUUUGUUGUUACUUAAAAUCUGACCUAUCUAGAUCGAUAGAUAAGCCACUCUGCUCAUUAGCAUUAUAGAAUCUUGACUCAGUGCUAGAGGGGAUCUUCAAUCACAAAAAAUGAUUAGAGGUUUGUUAGAUGUGUCUGACGAGGAUCCUUCGAUGCUUAUGUUAAGUAGAGCUUUAAGAAGAAAUAGGAGAUCUGAAAGAG
This 207-nucleotide long non-coding RNA is filed under the name Elaeis guineensis (African oil palm). Its description in RNAcentral is "long non-coding RNA (EGUI_LNC061340)". The record is from RNAcentral. Lineage: Eukaryota; Viridiplantae; Streptophyta; Magnoliopsida; Arecales; Arecaceae.